RNAcentral lists this ribosomal RNA (370 nucleotides) under uncultured bacterium. RNAcentral's name for it is "bacterial SSU rRNA". It matches the Rfam family "Bacterial small subunit ribosomal RNA", at positions 527 to 895 of the family's 1533-position model. The record is from RNAcentral.
GAACCGUGCAAACGUUGUUCGGAAUCACUGGGCGUAAAGGGCUUGUAGGUGGCCAACUAAGUCAGACGUGAAAUCCCUCGGCUUAACCGGGGAACUGCGUCUGAUACUGGAUGGCUUGAGUGUGGGAGAGGGAUGCGGAAUUCCAGGUGUAGCGGUGAAAUGCGUAGAUAUCUGGAGGAACACCGGUGGCGAAGGCGGCAUCCUGGACCAUAACUGACACUGAUAAGCGAAAGCCAGGGGAGCAAACGGGAUUAGAUACCCCGGUAGUCCUGGCCCUAAACGAUGAAUGCUUGGUGUGACGGGUAUCGAUCCCUGUCGUGCCGAAGCUAACGCAUUAAGCAUUCCGCCUGGGGAGUACGGUCGCAAGGCU